AAACCAACAGGGAUUGCCUUAGUAACGGCGAGUGAAGCGGCAAAAGCUCAAAUUUGAAAUCUGGCACCUUCGGUGUCCGAGUUGUAAUUUGAAGAAGGAAGGUUUAUGGGUCUUGUCUAUGUUCCUUGGAAUAGGACGUCACAGAGGGUGAGAAUCCCGUGCGAUGAGAUUCCGUAUUGUAAUCUUCCUUCGAAGAGUCGAGUUGUUUGGGAAUGCAGCUCUAAGUGGGUGGUAAAUUCCAUCUAAAGCUAAAUAUUGGCGAGAGACCGAUAGCGAACAAGUACAGUGAUGGAAAGAUGAAAAGAACUUUGAAAAGAGAGUGAAAAAGUACGUGAAAUUGUUGAAAGGGAAGGAUUUGAGAUCAGACUUGGUAUUUUGCAACCUUACUCUCGUGGUGGGGCCCCUGCAGUUUACUGGGCCAGCAUCAGUUUGGAUGAUGGGAUAAGGACAUUGGAAUGUGACUCUGCCUCGGUGGAGUGUUAUAGCCUUUGUUGAUACCGUCUAUCUAGACUGAGGACUGCGUCUUUGACUAGGAUGUUGGCAUAAUGAUCUUAAAUCAC
Molecule: ribosomal RNA, 560 nt
Filed under: Priceomyces haplophilus
Lineage: Eukaryota; Fungi; Ascomycota; Pichiomycetes; Serinales; Debaryomycetaceae
Description: eukaryotic LSU rRNA
Rfam family: Eukaryotic large subunit ribosomal RNA
Source: RNAcentral